UGUGUAGGUGGCGAGGUAAGUCGGAUGUGAAAUCUCGGAGCUCAACUCCGAAAUGGCAUUGGAAACUACCUUGCUCGAGGGUUGGAGGGGGGGACUGGAAUACUUGGUGUAGCAGUGAAAUGCGUAGAUAUCAAGUGGAACACCAGUGGCGAAGGCGAGUCCCUGGACAACUCCUGACACUGAGGCACGAAAGCUAGGGGAGCAAACA
This 208-nucleotide ribosomal RNA is filed under the name uncultured bacterium. RNAcentral's name for it is "partial 16S ribosomal RNA". It matches the Rfam family "Bacterial small subunit ribosomal RNA", at positions 568 to 774 of the family's 1533-position model. The record is from RNAcentral.